Xyrauchen texanus (razorback sucker) is the source of this 6854-nucleotide long non-coding RNA. RefSeq lists it as uncharacterized. NCBI's taxonomy places the organism in Eukaryota, Metazoa, Chordata, Actinopteri, Cypriniformes, Catostomidae. The record is from RefSeq and is a predicted model, not a curated record. The transcript has 3 exons.
AUUUCUUUUAGGUUAAGAACAAGACUAUAAUUAUCCCAAACUUAUUUAAAAAUUGUAUCGAUUGAUGGAUUUUUCUGUCCAUUACAACCAAAUAUGUUCCAUAUUCUCUGGUGCAUGAUCACUUUCAUUGCCAUAACAAAUGUAUUACAUGGUCUCAUAUAAUCAAGUUACUAUACCUACAUUUUUGCUAAGUGAUUUUAAUGUUUAUACUGUGUGUAUCAUGUCAGUUUUCUUGUGAAUAUGAACAUUAGAGCUGCUAAAUCAAUGACUUUUAUUCCCUCUCACACAUAUCACAAGUAAAACAACACAUUAUCAGUAAAUAAACACAUUUUACCCUGUUCCACACACAAUGCUAUCUUAUGACAUCCAAAGACUUUUACUAUAGUGUAUACAUUGUAACAAGAUACAUUUUAACAUUUGCAUUACAUAACCAACUAUAUUUACAAGCUUGUUCUUGAGUGAUCAAAUCACAAAUAGAGUGAUGCGUGGUAGCUCAGUUGAUAAAGAGUUGCACUUGAGAUUUAAAGGACCGAGGUAUCAGUCCCAAAGAGUCGAUGCAUGGGCCUAAAGUGUCAAAGAAGCAUCACAAAAUGACGGUGUUGCUUCAGUGACACUAUGACACUAUUUGUUAUGACACCAUUGGUUAGGUUUACUUUUAAUGUUUAGGGCAGUGAGUUAGCUAGAGGAGAGGAGAGGAGAGAGACUAAAAUGAGAAGAGAUGGAAAUUAAUUAUGUCUAUGCUACUGGCUCAUCCAAGCGCAUUAUCUGUACUGUGGAAAAGGGUAACACCCAUAUUAGCCUAAAAAAGCCCUUUGUUCAUAAACAAUCUAUAUCCAUAUUCAUAAGAUAAUAAAGAUAAAUGAACUCAAACCAGGCAUGAAAUAAAAAAGGACAUCAAGCAAACCUAAAUUAUAGAUAGUCAUCUCAUAUUUGGAAAACCCAAACAACAGGUCUAUUGUUGCCGCGGCUCUCUGAGCAAACGGCACAUAACCAUAACCCAAGAUUUUUCCAGAAUAAACUGCCAAUGCUGAUUAAGAGCUUUUUACUGCAUGUUCAGGCAGUGUUUGGAUGUUGUUUACAACCUCUAAAAGUACAAUGACCCCAUUGUGAAACAAUCCCGUUUAAUACAGGGAUGAAUAUGGCCAACAAUUUUACAUCAAAUAAAUUAUUUCAAUGGUAUAUUAGGCUCUAUUUCAACAAUGAAUAUCCAACAGUGCUGCAGUCAAAAUACAGACUCUGCCUUUCCUUUCCUCUUCGUCUGAAAAAGAAAGCGAAUGCAUUUUUUUUUUUUUUUUGGCUCAUUAUACCAUGCCCAAUUUUAACAAUUUGACACUGUUCUUUACAGCGUAAGCAUGAGCCAGCAGCAGCUCCUGAAGACAGCUCAAAGCUUAAAAAUGUUAUAGCAUUCUGACAGUGAAAGGAAUAAAAGAUUAUUAAGGUGAAAUAUAACUUAUUAAUAGCUUUUACACAGAGCCUGCAUGCUUGAGAAGUUCACUUGCCAAUUAAAUUGAAUGAUGAUACAUUUUAAAUACAUUACAUUGCUUCAAAGAACAUGCAUAUAUUUAAAAAAGGAUUACAAUUUUGCUUUUUGAUAAACCUAGCAGAUGGAGGUGAAUUGAGAAAAUUGACUGGACGGUGUGUAUUUCUUAUUAGCCAUGAAACUGUAUUUUGUGUCAUUUUUCUCUUCAAUAAAUCUUUUAAAGUUACACUAUUUAACUUUUUGCCCUCUAGCAGCUGACACAUAGAACUGCAAGUUAUUUGCGAGGAAGGCUAUUUUGGUAAAUACGUCACUCGGGCUUCGUCUCUACUUUUCUACGCAGAUGAAUCUGAUGGUUUGUGGAGAACAGGUGUAACCACAGUUAAAAAAAUAAAAAUCACCCCCUCCCCAAAAAAUAAAUAAAUAACCAAAGGAGGAAAACGUCUCGGGUUACAUAUGUUUCCCUUGUUCCCUGAAAAAAGCAGAACGUGAUGCUGCGCUGAAGAGUGCUUUGGGAACACGUCUCAGUUGUGACCAGCUGUGAAUAUGUAUGUGUGGCAGGGCGGAGGGCGGGGCCGGGUCGUGAUCCUACGCACCCGGUCCCGUAUUAGGCUAAUCAAGCCUCUGAGGUUUAAAGGUCGACUGCAGAGGACCGUGCGGGAAGAACCCGAUACUGGAAGGCUUUGCCCUUUAAAGCGAACCUCAGGAACAUCCUGUGUUGUGGCAGAACUUCUAAGAGAAGAAGUGCAUCAUAAGAUCGAUGGUGACCAGCCAAACGUGAUGUUGGGCUUGUGACACGAACGUCUCGAUAGGCAGCAUCUUGGCUAGAACACCCAGACUGGGCAGUUCAAGCCUUAAGAUCUAAGGUCAGACGCAACCCCCCACCCUCCUUGGGAACCAGGAAGUAUUUGCUGUAAUAACCUGACUCUCUCUCUGGAAGGGGAACACGUUCCGUGGCCCCUUUAACCAAAAUAUUUAGCAGUUCGUUACGCUGUAGACAUGCCUGAUCUGGUUUACGGUAGUGGAGACCACACUGUUGAAAUACGGAGGGCGGCGAGCGAAUUUAAUUCUGUAGCCCUUUUCUACUGAUCUUAGGACCCACGUAAAAUAUCUGGCAGAAGUUUCUACACUGCCAGGUUCUCAGAGAUUUUUUAACACUUCCUGUUGAGGGGGUGUCGAGUGUUCCGUGUCCUGGAUAAAUGCAGAAAGCAGCGAAACACCCAACUUUUUGAUGGGAACCUCUACCUCCCAAAACACAGAAGGCAGUGGGAAUGGAGAGGUUUUGUGGGGGUACCAGGAGGGGCGAAGUGGUGAACGUGCCUCGUUCCGAGGGGAGCUACCCCCAGAAGACUAGGCGCAAGACCAUCAGGGUCCUGAGGACCAUCUUUCUUUAAAAUUUAGGGUCCUGAGGUCUUGCUUUGGGGGCUGUUGAGGGCGAUGAGACUGUCUCCAGUCACCGCGAGGGGGAGCACGACUCGCCACGCUUUGCUUUUGAGCCUCCCUUCUAACAGGACCGAGGCGGGUCUGGGUGGCCGACGGACCCGCCCCCUGAGUGCGGCGAGGGAGGAACUGCUCGAAGGCCUCCUCGUGGCUUUUCGCCUCUUAGAACAUGGUGAUAACCGUGCUCAUGGCGCCUCCGAAUAGGCCAGUACUCAAAACCGGGGCAUUAAGGAGGAAAACUUUAUCCUUGUCCUUGAUGCCCGAAAGGUUGAGCCAAAGGUGCCUCUCCAUGCUGACCAAGGCAGACAUAGACCGGUCAAUAGCACGGGCUGUUUGCUUGGUCGCGCGGAGAGAAAGAUCUGUGGCUCGACGAAGCUCAGAAAAAACUUGCUCAUCGAGCGCAGCACCCACACUCAGGCCGUCCAGCAGGUCAGCCUGGUAAGCCUGUAAUUCAGCCAUUGUAUGCAGAGCAGCACCAGCCUGACCUGCUACUUUAUAAGCCCUCCCCAUUAAAGUGGAGGUCAUCCUGCAAGGCUUUGUGGGGAGAGAGGACUUUUAAAAUGACGAUGCCGAGCCUGGCGAGAGAUAGCCCGCAAGCAUCUCUUCGACUGGCGGCAUCAUUGAAGGUCAUCAAAGAAAGGAAGGGACUAAUAGUGUUUUAUGGGGAGGGUGUGUCUCUUGUUUGCGUGGCCAGUCUAGCUGUAGUCUGGCCAGAGCCCGAGUAACCACCUCGAGAAAAUUUUUAUUAUUGAAAUGUACAGAGGUUCUGCGCCCCCCCUCGUGAAACAAAGAGGCGCCGAGACGCGCUUCAGGCUUACGAGAAGGAUCAGCUGGAUCUGGGGAGAGAGCGAGCGAUAGGGACGGACCCGUCUCUCGCUCCUCAGCCAGAUAUAUGCAAGAGCCCCACGAUGAAAGAGUGGCCGCUGUCUCCUGGAAGUAAGCGAGGCGAGCAUGAAGCAUUUCGCCCGAAAGCAGAUCGCCAACGAGAGAGCAGCAUGCUCUUCCCCCAAACAAACAAAACUAAAUUGCUCUGAUUCUCAGUCAUUCUCUCUCUAUUUAUAUAUAUAUUUAUAGAAAGCAGAGAAAGGAGAAAAGGUUCACUGCACACUUCCUAACAGAAUCUUACUCCUAACAGAGGAAAGAAAGUUUGACAGCUUCGUGAUAGCACACAGCACAGAAUGGCUCUGAAGACGAAAAAUCUGAUGACGCACCGGUGAAGCAUCUAUUUAUAGCCACUGCGCCAAUGAUUACAUCGGCAGAGGCUAUAAAUUCCAGUCAAUGUUCAUUGACAUGUUGCAUACAUAUUCACAGCUGGUCACAACUGAGACGUGUUCCCAAAGCGCUCUUCAGCGCAGCAUCAUAGUGAAGAUUUUGUAAAGGGAACGACUAUUAUAACUUAGCUAGCAGGCAAAUAGGCCAAGGUACACUAAAAAAAUCCUGUAAAUUUACAUGGAUAUACUGCAAAAUACUGUUUUCAUGUAAUAGCUGUAAGUUGCUUUUUUUCGCAAUGCAUUAUGGGAGGACUUGGUCUCUUCAAAUUGCAUGCUGAUAAGCAAAAGUAUGACACAUGUUAUUUAACAGUAUUAUACCAUAUUUUCUCCAUGUGCAUGGAAGAGGCAAGACAUUUUGGAUUGUCAGCAUGAGGUAAUUUUGGAACUCAGCCUAUGAUUGUAUUAUCUGUAAUUACCUAUUACUUUUAAAUAUAACAUUUUAAACAUCCAAUGAAGCUUUUGUGAUUUAAAUCAGAUUAUUCGAUUGCAUGUUUUAAUCAGGCAAAGGAGUGAUUGAGCGAGUUUAUAAGCACACGACUGCAUUUGCACACACUGGUAAGUAACCUGAAAUAUUAUCCAACCUGCACGUUUUCCUAAACUUUGUCUGAUUAACAUGAAUGGAAAAUUAAUUAUGUUUUUUUUAUUUUCUGGUUACACAUUUAAUGUGCGCAUUCAAACCGUACAUGUGAGAGACAUUUUGGGUUAUCUGCUAUUUGCAACUCCGCCUAUGAUUUGAAUAUAUGUAAGUUACCAAGUACUUCUUAAUAUUACAUUAAAAAGACCAGUCAAGCCUUUAUCAUUUAAAUUAGAUGACGGUAUACUGGACGGUAUACCGUAUACGGCACCUGAACUUCAUGCAACAGGCACAUGUCCAAAUCUUUAUCUGAGUAAAAGAUAAGUGAAGUUACGAACAAAAUUCAUAAUUCUUGUGUGAUUAAUGUGAACAUGCAUAUUCAAACACCUACUGGCUUGAAUGCAUAACUAUUAGCGGCAUGACAAUACACAGCGAUGUCUCAAAUAUUGUUAUUCAUUGCUGCAUAGGAAACUGUAAUAGGACGUUUAAAAAACAUGAAGGUUUGAAAUUGCACGUGUACAGACACCAUAAAGGAUAUGUAGAACCCACAAUGUGCACUACACAUUCCUUGGAAUGUCAUUCUUUACCUGAGUUUAUUUCUCGUAUUAAAAUGCACAUUAAAGAGGGAAGAAAAGUCACAUGCCCUUUCAAGCAGUGUGGCAAAACAUUUGCUGUUGUAUCAACAUUUACCUCUCACUUGUGUAGAAAACAUAAAAAUACAGGAGGCUUAAUUAACACCAUUAACUUCUUUCGCACAUUUUGAGCUUCUCACUGACAUCGAUGUCCUGCAUGCACCUAAACUUUCUAUGGAGGAGUGUGGAAACAACAUGGUAGAGUUUUUUUUUAAAGCAAACCUACCAACCCAGAAGUUAAGUCAGUCCUUUCCAAAGAGGAAGCCAUUGAAUCAUCAAACCACAUAGUUCAACUCCUAAUGGCUCACUUCAUAGAGAAGAAAGUGUAAGUUUGUCUUCACAUUCAUUGUGUUUGUUCUUUGUAUGAAUACCUUCAUAAAAUGGUUCACCUAAAAAUUAUAGUUCUCUCAACAUUUACAUUACAUGUCCAUCAAAAUAUCAUCUUUUGUGGCAUACGUGUUUAAAUCAACAAGGGUGAGACAAUUAUCAUUUUUGGAUAAAAUAUUCCUAUUUGGAAUAUAACAGGCCUAUUGGCUUGGUACAUUAUUAGCAGUAGCACAUUGGUUUCUUUUUUCAUAAAUUGUUAUCUUUACAAAUAGAUGUCUACUGCUGACCUUGAGAAGACGGGUAACCUGCCUGUGACUCCUCGUUUGAUCCUGCUUGGUCCAGGUGAUAUUCCUGGGCAAUGGAUGAAGAUCAACGAAAAAUGACGGAAGAUCAGCCUGGAAGGCCGAAUAAUCUGUGAGGGUGUGUAGCCAAGUUUUGUCACUGGACUUGCUGCAUUGUUUUCUUUGUAUUACAUCUUUAAUUUGCAGUACCAAGAGGAAGCAACAUCCACACUGGAAUUCCUUCAAAGACACUUUAUUGGAAUAAAUCUGGAAAAGGCUGGAUCAAGACUUCACAGGGAUCACAGGGAAAAGUGGUGUCUAAAAAAAAACUGGAAAAACUCUGCAGAAGAAGACUGUAACUGUCAGUACAGAGGUAUCAAAUCUCUUAAAAAAACUGAUGGACUUUGAGUGAGACUUCAUUUAAAAUGUAUCUGACACUCCCCACCAAUGCGGUUUAUUUUUCACAUAAUAUGGUGGGCUGGAGUGUUGCUGAAGGAUGAUUUUGUUUUUUUUACUGAUUUGUAUUUUAAUCUGGAGCAGCUGCCCCGCGACCUGACUUCGGAUAAGCGGUUGAAGAUGGAUGGAUAUAUUUUAUAAACCAUUUGUUUUGAUAUUAAAAUGGGCUGGUGUUUUUGAAGUCUGAUUUGACAGUAGAUUUGUAUUUUAUAUAAAGCUAAGUAAUUUCACAUUUUUUGUUUUGUGUAAUGUUCUGCUUUUAACUUAAGUCAUUUGUGUAUUUUGAUUUGUUGAUGGGUGCUUUUUUGUUGCAACACAGCACUGAAUAUUAUUUGAAUACUUUUAUUUAUUUAUUGCCUGUUUUAGUGCAUAUUGAUAAAUAUGUUGUUGUUUCAG